CAGUCGAGCGACAGAUAAGGAGCUUGCUCCUUUGACGUUAGCGGCGGACGGGUGAGUAACACGUGGGUAACCUACCUAUAAGACUGGGAUAACUUCGGGAAACCGGAGCUAAUACCGGAUAACAUUUGGAACCGCAUGGUUCUAAAGUGAAAGAUGGUUUUGCUAUCACUUAUAGAUGGACCCGCGCCGUAUUAGCUAGUUGGUAAGGUAACGGCUUACCAAGGCAACGAUACGUAGCCGACCUGAGAGGGUGAUCGGCCACACUGGAACUGAGACACGGUCCAGACUCCUACGGGAGGCAGCAGUAGGGAAUCUUCCGCAAUGGGCGAAAGCCUGACGGAGCAACGCCGCGUGAGUGAUGAAGGGUUUCGGCUCGUAAAACUCUGUUAUUAGGGAAGAACAAAUGUGUAAGUAACUGUGCACAUCUUGACGGUACCUAAUCAGAAAGCCACGGCUAACUACGUGCCAGCAGCCGCGGUAAUACGUAGGUGGCAAGCGUUAUCCGGAAUUAUUGGGCGUAAAGCGCGCGUAGGCGGUUUCUUAAGUCUGAUGUGAAAGCCCACGGCUCAACCGUGGAGGGUCAUUGGAAACUGGGAAACUUGAGUGCAGAAGAGGAAAGUGGAAUUCCAUGUGUAGCGGUGAAAUGCGCAGAGAUAUGGAGGAACACCAGUGGCGAAGGCGACUUUCUGGUCUGUAACUGACGCUGAUGUGCGAAAGCGUGGGGAUCAAACAGGAUUAGAUACCCUGGUAGUCCACGCCGUAAACGAUGAGUGCUAAGUGUUAGGGGGUUUCCGCCCCUUAGUGCUGCAGCUAACGCAUUAAGCACUCCGCCUGGGGAGUACGACCGCAAGGUUGAAACUCAAAGGAAUUGACGGGGACCCGCACAAGCGGUGGAGCAUGUGGUUUAAUUCGAAGCAACGCGAAGAACCUUACCAAAUCUUGACAUCCUUUGAAAACUCUAGAGAUAGAGCCUUCCCCUUCGGGGGACAAAGUGACAGGUGGUGCAUGGUUGUCGUCAGCUCGUGUCGUGAGAUGUUGGGUUAAGUCCCGCAACGAGCGCAACCCUUAAGCUUAGUUGCCAUCAUUAAGUUGGGCACUCUAGGUUGACUGCCGGUGACAAACCGGAGGAAGGUGGGGAUGACGUCAAAUCAUCAUGCCCCUUAUGAUUUGGGCUACACACGUGCUACAAUGGACAAUACAAAGGGCAGCUAAACCGCGAGGUCAUGCAAAUCCCAUAAAGUUGUUCUCAGUUCGGAUUGUAGUCUGCAACUCGACUACAUGAAGCUGGAAUCGCUAGUAAUCGUAGAUCAGCAUGCUACGGUGAAUACGUUCCCGGGUCUUGUACACACCGCCCGUCACACCACGAGAGUUUGUAACACCCGAAGCCGGUGGAGUAACCAUUU
Molecule: ribosomal RNA, 1403 nt
Filed under: Staphylococcus sp.
Lineage: Bacteria; Bacillati; Bacillota; Bacilli; Caryophanales; Staphylococcaceae
Description: bacterial SSU rRNA
Rfam family: Bacterial small subunit ribosomal RNA
Source: RNAcentral